Bombus terrestris (buff-tailed bumblebee) is the source of this 7749-nucleotide long non-coding RNA. RefSeq lists it as uncharacterized. The record is from RefSeq and is a predicted model, not a curated record. The transcript is spliced from 3 exons. Lineage: Eukaryota; Metazoa; Arthropoda; Insecta; Hymenoptera; Apidae.
AAGCAGGAAUAGCAACGUUCGUGACCGCAAGAAUCGAUCAAUCGACGUUUUUUCCCUUUGUCGAAUGGCAUCUCGCAGGAUGGACAGGUUGAUCCACCUAACAUACCCGUGGACUCCACCAGCGCUCGGAUCUGGGCCAGAUCUGUGGAAUCUACAACUCUAAAAUCAGCAACAAAUCGUGUAACCGGAAUGCAAACUGUAUCCUAUCUCCAUCAAAUCUAAAUUCUCACGUUAUCGUCUACGAUAUGAUCCUGGGAGUGAAACGUUGCCCCCAAGAAGACGCAGACGUUCCCUAAGAAGAACUGUAAUAACAGUAAAAACGCUUGUUAACCAUUUUCGCGCGUGCUCCGAGAAUAGGAGGAAGGGGAAGCGAAACGGGAAAAAACGGUACGUCGAAGAGGCCGCGACUUCCUUGUGAGACGCAGAUCGAUGUUCCACUUAACAACGAGUUCGCGAGUUUGACAGCCAGAGACCAACUGUCACGAAGAAUCUGCACAGGGCACACCGGUAUCUCGCUACCGCAAAUCAAUCGGUGCGUCUUCUUAAUCCUUUGAUUUACGACCUUAUUAUAUCCUUACUAUCAGGAGUAUCAAGAGGACCACAAGGAUAUUAGAGGCAGUUCGACGUUCACGAAGAAGAGGUAGAAAACUCAGGAUGUGUUGAACGGGUCAAGCUAUGCAAAUUGUAGAUUAAUACGAUCAUGCUGAGCAGUUGAGGCAGUUAAGACGUGGGCGGUACCGUUGCGAUCACUCUGUGUAAUUGAACAGUUAGGGGCGAGAAUGCAACGAAUCUAGGUCCAUUAAAUGGCACAAUGGUCUAUGUUCCGAGAAACAUGAAGAUUUUUUGCUUAACCUCUUGUCCUAUGACCUUUUAGCGCCUGAGCGAACUUCGCUCGCUACAUAUUACAAGAACCUACUUGUUACUUGGAAAGAGUUAAUAGAGUUCUUUUGAGAACUAUUGAAAAUGUCACGGUACCAAUAUUAAAAGAACAUGUUAUGGAGAAACAGCAACUGGUGGCUGUCUACAGAUUCCACCGCCCGUUAAAGUCUCUCCUAAGAGAACCAAACCUAUAAACGACGUUUCCCCAGUCAUGUUGGUGGUACGACGGUUCAUUCACAUAUACCGUAAUCCAGGACAACCUCUUGCCAAUCUAAAGGCAACCUCUGGCAGCUGACCGAGUAGCUCGAGUCGAAGCGUGAUUUCGCGGGUUACUCAGAUGGAAUGACGCGGCGAACGUUGAAAGAAGGAAGUAAUUCGGGUCGCACGACCCUUUAUCCCGGUAAGUCCACGUCGAGGCAGGUGCAACACACUGCCUGGGUUACCGUAAGCUGGGUCAACGCACCCAGGAGAGAUGCAGAAAGAGAGAGAGAGAGAGAGAGAGAGAGGAUCGUAUAGUCGCUUCCACGGUAAACUCGUACAACGAUGUCGUUUUCUCCGGAGGCAUCACUGACUCACGCGUUUCCGCCGCGUGUAUAUCCAGUUUCCAUCCUCUCCGCAUCGGCAGUUCUCGCGAGAUUUAUAGACAGAAAGAGAGGAGUUCCGAGAGCCGAGGAGAAGUCGAAGGUCGAGGAAACGUCCAUAAGAUGUACACUUUUUCCUUUCUUCCGUCUGGCAAUUUCUUCUCCGUUUCUGGCUAUGUAUAUUUAAUUAAUGGUGAUCUAGUGUCUCGUUAAUUGCGCUGGCUGUCUUGACGUACAAGUUAUACCCAUUAGAUUGGCGCAUAUUAAACUUCGUUUUAACACCACUUGGUUUAUUUGAAAUAAUAUACAUUUAAUCGAUAACUUGCAGGUGAUUCAAUAUACUUUCUCAAUAAUAUACCACGUUACGUUAUUUGAAAUUUAUAUAUAAACUGCGGAUAUUUACGCAUUUGUAUAUAGCUAACUCCAUAAAUCGAAAAGCAGGAAAAAUGACAUUACAAACGCUAAUUUUUAAUUUACCUUAAAAUUUACUACUAUCCAUAUCAUGCUGUUUUGAUAAAUAAACUGAUUUGAAAUCAGUCGUUUCUUCUUUAUAAACAGUAUAUCUCACAACGCUUUUGUGCACCGAUCUAGAACUACUCGAUAAAUAAAACAUCCUAGCGAUCUUUUUCUCCAACGAAGAUACGUCGAUUAGUCGAACAAGGACGACUAAGCACGUUUUUCCUGGACGUUUACGAGACGAACGACACAGAUUCGUUUCAUGAUCUUUUUUUUCAUUCGCUUCUGCUAUCGCGGAUUAAGCGAGAACAGCAGUUUUUGUCGAUGCUCGAAAAAGAAACUCAAUCGACGGAGGCACUCUCGGGUAUAUUAAGUCCACGUUUUUUCCGUUUAGCGACGAUAGUCACGAUCUAGACACGUUUUACUUGCUGACAUUUUGUAUUGUAAUUUAAUGGUCUUCUUCGGCUCGCCGGUUUUUUACUCGCCCCUGCACCCGCUCGAUCUAACAAGGCGAGAACGAGCAUCGUGGUUGAACAUAGUAGAGAACUCGGUGCGCCGCGACCCGUAUAAAUCCGGCAUCUAUUAUUCCCACGUUUCCUAGACCGUGACGGUUCUUCGAAACAUCAAAAGGCUCGAUCGAGUAGGAGUUCUCUCGGAGCUUUGUGAAUGCUUCUUGUUCUUUUUUUCUUUUUUCUAGUAUUCGAAUUUUUCUCUUGCAGGAUCAUAGGGCAGGCCUCCAGCCACUUUUCAACUUUCUCCAAUUAUUCCGCAAACCGCGAGAAUUACGAUGCCGCAUCGUCGACGCUUUCGUGGAAAAUGACUUGAUUUCUUAUCAACAGCAACCAGGGAAUCGUACAUACACGGAUCUUUGAUCAUGGAGGUCUAAUGUCGUUUUAUUUCUUACGAUUCUUUUCAAUCCAAUUUUAAUCCUUUAGUUAUAGUGUGGUUACGCAUGCAGUCAUUGACGCGUGUCGAUAUCGGCAAACGGUUCCGCAUUCUUCACCCUUUGGCGAACUCUGCAGUGCCGAACCAGUCGCAGCGUUGUACUUUUGCGUUUCGAUUUUAUAGCGGCAAAUAGAAUCGAAAAAACGAUUCAUGGUGUUAUAGAACCGACUUAAAUAUCACGGACGUAUUCUGUAUUUAUUCGUUUGUGCAGAAUUUUUCUCUUCUCUUCCCUUCUUCACGAUGAAUGGUUCUAUCGAAUUACUUUGAGCCACGAAGCUCUUUUAGGGUAACACGGUUACAGGUAAAGCAGGCAUUUCUCAAACUAUCUGUUAAGUAUCGGUACGUCGGUGCUGUUUCGUCAUAGGGGUUCUAAUCGAUUGCGUCCUUGUUUUUUCCAAGUUAAAUGAUCAAAUGACAUACGAUCUAAGAAUACUAAUUCUUAUUUUAAUAAAUAAAUAAUUGAGAACGAUGACUUCUUGCCAUUCGUCUAUCUGCAAUAUUAUCAAAUAAUAUAUUAAAGUAUAUCGAACAAUUCUUUUUGGUCUUUGACAACUUUGACUAAAAGAGCUUUGUGGCUCAAAGUAAUUCGAUAGAACCAUUCAUUGUUAAGGAGGGAAGAGAAGAGAAAAAUUCUGCACAAACGAAUAAAUACAGAAUACGUCCGUGAUAUUUAAGUCCGUUCUCGAUUGAUUCUUCCACUGAAACCAUCGCAAAUCGUUAAAUCCAGCCUGUUCCCGUUCUACCUUCUCCUCUGCUUACGAACCAAGCUCUUCCUCUCUUUCUGGCUUCGUUGGUACGUUGGUGUUCGAACAAUAUUAGCGGGACGGCGAUAAAAUACGACAUAGCCGAGCAACAGAGCGAGAACGAGUGCGAUUAAAGCCCGCUCACGAGCCGAGGGAACGGAGCAGAACGACGCGACGUCCGCACCAGGGGCCACCUGUCCUGGUCUCCCCAGUCGCUGUUUCCGUUCUCCGUUGCGCUCUCUUGCUCCUGGGCCAUGCUGCGUCCUCGUAAAUUGGUACCCCGUCGCCGACUGGCUGACCCGAAUCGAGAUACUGGCCGGGGAAACACCGUUUUUCAUUUACGCCGCUUUCGUUCUCGUUUUGACACCAAGUUCGUACGACAGGUUUACCAUCGAUAUUUUGAUAAUGCAUACAUUUAAUCGUGAAAACAAAAUUGCCGUAGAAUUAUAUUUAUGGGAGGAAUUUUUUUUUUAAGCGUUACGCAAUAUUUUCUUGUAAAAUGUUUCAUAACACGCUUUAAUUAAAAUUAAAUGAAUCUUAAGGCUGUCGCGAUCGAUGAAAAGGAACGGCCGCGUGUAGAGUUUGGUCUCGCAAGAACGAGUAGCGAAAGAAGAGGCCGAGGAAAAAAGGAAAAAAGAUAACGCAGAGAGAGUACAUGUGAUCGUUUUGGUUUCGACGAGUCACGCGCAAUAAUCGUUAUUUUGUACCCUGAAGAAUGAGAGAAAGUUACCCUACCGAGUCUCGCCUACGGCUGCAAUAUUUACAUCGACGCGACGCGACGCGACGCCUUCCGCUAUACCGGGAGGCUAUGAAAUGACAAACAGUGCACCGUGUGACGCUUCGAUCAUGCCUGUGGUUCGUGGUACGAGCAGGAAAAGAAGAAGAAAUCGGGAUAAAAUCGGUCGAGACGAGGAAAGACGUCAAAACGAUUAAAAACAAGCGACUUUCACGAGAUUCAGAUCAGAUGCCAAAAGGAAUUCCUGGAAUAUCGAUAGCUCGACUUCUUCGUCAGAGAAUGUAGAGUAAAAAGAACCAUCACUGAAACGGGCUAAUUGGAAAACCGGGAAAGUAGGGUUUGCUCGAUUAACGCGGACCUAACUGAAAGAAGAAGAAUCGACACGGAUUCGAACACUGUAAUUUAUCUGGAAAUCAAUUAGCCAUGGAGACUGAUGUACCGUGUAAUUUGCAUCUUUCUUUUGAAGAUAGAAAAUGUAAAUCUAAAUUCGGUGCUAUUACAGAUACUAUACUGUAAUAUUUGCGACCGAGGAAAUCUGUAGAAAAGUGGCACGAGAUAUUUUCUUCCAACAAAAAUACACUUACAUUAUUUGUCCGAUUUAAAUUUCGAGAUCAUCUUUGUUUUUAUUCUCGUGUAUCUCUGUUCUACUAAAAGAAACGAGACAUUUUCAACUGUAUCCUUCCAAUAGAAUCCCAUCGUUGCACCGUUCUCCACGAAAAGUUCACUCUGGUAUAUAGGAUCAUGGCCUCGAUAAUUCUCCUGUGACGAGCAUGCAAGGUGUUCCAAACGACGCGAGUACGAUUAAUAAUCCAAAAUGUCGUUGCUCCGUGGUCGAUGAGUGUCGAAACCGCGACUCUAUUAGAUAUGUUAAUCGCGGUUUACAUUGUGUGGAAAGCGUGCGAUUACGAUCUGUUCUUUUCUAACUUUAAUUGCUCGAUCAUCCUUUAAUUGCACGGACGAUUCGUUGGUAAGCAAAUGAUCGAGGUUUGUUUUGACGUCUUUAAUACCGUUUAUAACACUAUGAUAAAUUUAUCUUACGUUCGCGUGACAAGCACUAUUGAAUAUUUAUAUGUAAUAUUUCAUACAUCGCAUUGCUCGAUGAGAAUUCAAGCUUAUAUACAUGUAGCUACAUUUCAAUACCGUAACAACUACCAGAAUAAUCAAACCGAGCGAUUUAUACAUUUUUAAUAGAAACUUUAUAAGUUUGUAAAAAAGUCGAAUCUAAAUAGAAAUUUAUUUCAUUCGCCAAAUAUUAUAGUAAGGCAAGGCCUUUACUUUAAAUACUACGUAUAUUAUUGCGUAUUAAAUGCAUUCUGGCCAUUCGCACACUUUCAAAUGUUACAUAUCUAAACGCAUAAAUAUCUAAUCUAGUCAUAACCUAAUACCGUACUCAAAAUCAAGUCAGACAAUUCUCGUGCCUCUCAGCCAAGUUUCUUGACUCCGGUUUCUAAUCGUCGCUCUCUCACGGGCAACGCUGUGUGGAGCAUGGGUUUACCUGUCCGUUUCCACGAGAUAAGGUUCAGGCUCUGGGCCGCGCGAUAACGGCCGAUAGAUAAGCGUUGCUCUACCUCGACAGAUUAAAUCGUAGACGAGCGGGGAAAACUUCUCUACCGCCAUGGGUUAUCUGUCGUUUAUCGUGGUGGACCGUUUCCCGGAUUAAAAUCUAAAAACCGGCCGAGUUCAUGUCCGCUUCGAGAAACAUUUCUCCAACCCGGACUCGUACAGAAAAUUGAAGCCAUGAAUUCCAAAACAGCACGAUUCUAUUUUUGACGCUAGAUUACGACCCAUAUAAUUGUUUUCAGCUUGCUUAGAUUAUUUAGCUAUCUAAUAACGUUUAAAAUAAUACAGAAAUCUCAUCUCUUGAUCGUACUCUUUUCGCUUUUUCGCGUUUUUAAAUAAUCUAUUGUGUUAAGUAAUAAAAUUCGAUCGUUUCUCUCUCACUGGUAUAUGCGUUUCGAAAAGUGUCAUAAAAAUUAUUUACAAGAAGGAAUUGAAAUUUUGUCAUAAGAAAAAAUAAACAAGAUUAAUAAUAAAUAAACUUCAGAUUUUGACGCAUUUACGGGAAAAUUCCAAGUACAAAAAUACAUAAUAGAACGUAUAUAAAGUAUAGCAUCAAUCAUAAUAUUUACUAGAUAAAAGAGAUUCCACAUUUCUAAUGAAAUUCGUAAAAAUAUGAAUUUCCAUAAAUGUCCGCAGUAUAACAACGAAUUAAAGAAGAUAAAUAAGAACUGAUUUUUGCGAAAUAUCGAUUAGUGAACUUGCGCAGUUUUGAAAUUCAUAGCGUUGAUUAUGCUGCAGAAAUAGUGCGCGUCUAAUUAAACGAGCGCGUAACAGAACCGUUGCAAGAGAUUGUUCAGAGUUUAAUCGCGAUCGCGAUUAAAAGUCUAGUUGGAUGUCGAUUUCUUUUUAGUCGGUCGCGUACAUGGAAACCGCUUGUAUUUAUACAUAUGUACAUUCUACGGUUAAAGAGGUUCAAUGCGUGGAAGCCGCAAGAGAGAGCUCUCGAUUCAAUCGCGCGUAACUGAACGUUUCGUUGGUUUUGUUGCUCACGACUAUUCAUCGACGAUCAUCGUAAUUUCAUCCCCGGAUACGAGGAGGAUGACAGUGAUCGAACGCUAUGGGAUUCAUUGUUCUCGGCACACUUCGAUCUAUCGUUUAAUUCUUCUAAUAGUUUCAUUGCUCGAAUUUCUUUUUCUUUCUUUUUGAUAAUUUAGAGCUAGUUGCGAGAUAAAAUCGAGCAAGAUUGAAUAUAUUCAUUGGGCAAAAGUGUUAGAUCAAGUACGUUAUUGAUCUUGUAACGUCGAUUCGAUAUGAACGUGCAGACUGCUUCUAGAUGUUGUUACAUAGGAUGGAAUCUAAUUCUUCGGACAUUGAUUCGCUGAAUAGUACUGCGAUAAAUGGAGUCCUGGCCUAAAUCUUACAAAACACAUAUGAAACACAUUGAAACAUAAAUUGAAGAAAGAAUCACAGAAAAUGCGAAGCGAGUUUAUCAAAAAAUUAUUCGGUAGAAUUUUUAAAAAAUUGUUGUUGUUGAAACUGAAAACGGUACGUACAUUUAUCGAUACGUAUCAACCUAGCCUAAUGUAUAUUAUCUCAACUGAAAACUAUGAUACUGAAUAGACGCAAACUUUUAUGACUUUUUUUGUGGUCUCUAUGACGCACUUUUACGAACGUGAACAACACAACCAUAACUAAUCACAUUUGAAAAAGAAAACGUAAUAUUACAUCAGCAACUCCGGAAGUGUUAAAUUUAAGUUCCCAUACAGUAUAUGAAUGGGAGGUUCUAAUUUCCCUGAUGUAGUCUGUUUGUGGUAUUCAGUUGAUUAGCUGGACCGCACAGACCCGCCAGUCGUCGGUCAAAGAUACUGAUAAGAACGUACGUCUAUCAGCGGAUGGAAUUAACUAUGGA